CAGGAGAUAGUUUAAAAAAUAUUAAAUUUGGGGUUUAAAGAUAGGAUUACUUCUUCUUCUGA
RNAcentral lists this transfer RNA (62 nucleotides) under Zhengitettix curvispinus. RNAcentral describes it as "tRNA-Pro". The record is from RNAcentral. Lineage: Eukaryota; Metazoa; Arthropoda; Insecta; Orthoptera; Tetrigidae.